UACGUAGGGGGCGAGCGUUGUCCGGAUUUAUUGGGCGUAAAGAGCUCGUAGGCGGUUUGGUAAGUCGGGUGUGAAAUCUCCACGCUCAACGUGGAGGGGCCACUCGAUACUGCCAUGACUCGAGUCCGGUAGAGGAGUGUGGAAUUCCCGGUGUAGCGGUGGAAUGCGUAGAGAUCGGGAAGAACACCCGUGGCGAAGGCGGUGUGCUGGGUUGCAACUGACGCUGAGAUGCGAAAGUGUGGGGAGCAAACGGG
This 254-nucleotide ribosomal RNA is filed under the name uncultured bacterium. RNAcentral describes it as "partial 16S ribosomal RNA". It matches the Rfam family "Bacterial small subunit ribosomal RNA", at positions 524 to 776 of the family's 1533-position model. The record is from RNAcentral.